Molecule: ribosomal RNA, 148 nt
Filed under: Synchytrium taraxaci
Lineage: Eukaryota; Fungi; Chytridiomycota; Chytridiomycetes; Synchytriales; Synchytriaceae
Description: 5.8S ribosomal RNA
Rfam family: 5.8S ribosomal RNA
About the family: 5.8S ribosomal RNA (5.8S rRNA) is a component of the large subunit of the eukaryotic ribosome. It is transcribed by RNA polymerase I as part of the 45S precursor that also contains 18S and 28S rRNA. Functionally, it is thought that 5.8S rRNA may be involved in ribosome translocation.
Source: RNAcentral
AACUUUUGACAACGGAUUUCUCGGCUCUCGCAACGAUGAAGAACGCAGCAAAAUGCGAUACGUAUCAUGAAUUGCAAAUCUGUGAAUGAGAAAUUUUUGAACGCACAUUGCGCCAGCUUUUGGUUGGCAUGUCUGUCUGAGAAUCUUU